Molecule: ribosomal RNA, 353 nt
Filed under: uncultured bacterium
Lineage: Bacteria
Description: bacterial SSU rRNA
Rfam family: Bacterial small subunit ribosomal RNA
Source: RNAcentral
AGAGUUUGAUCCUGGCUCAGGACGAACGCUGGCGGCGUGCUUAACACAUGCAAGUCGAACGGUGAAGGGAUCAGCUUGCUGGUUCUGGAUGAGUGGCGAACGGGUGAGUAACACGUGAGUAACCUGCCCCCUUCUUCUGGAUAACCGCAUGAAAGUGUGGCUAAUACGGGAUAUUCUGCGCCUGCUGCAUGGUGGGUGUGGGAAAGAUAUUGUUUCGGUGGGGGAUGGGCUCGCGGCCUAUCAGCUUGUUGGUGGGGUGAUGGCCUACCAAGGCGGUGACGGGUAGCCGGCCUGAGAGGGUGGACGGUCACACUGGGACUGAGACACGGCCCAGACUCCUACGGGAGGCAGCA